This 208-nucleotide ribosomal RNA is filed under the name uncultured bacterium. RNAcentral describes it as "partial 16S ribosomal RNA". It matches the Rfam family "Bacterial small subunit ribosomal RNA", at positions 524 to 725 of the family's 1533-position model. The record is from RNAcentral.
UACGUAGGUGGCAAGCGUUGUCCGGAAUUAUUGGGCGUAAAGCGCGCGCAGGCGGCUAUGUAAGUCUGGUGUUAAAGCCCGGGGCUCAACCCCGGUUCGUCAUCGGAAACGUAGCGUAGCUUGUAGUGCAGAAGAGGAAAGACGGUAGUUCCACGUGUAGCGGUGAAAUAGCGUAGAGAUGUGGAGGAACACCAGUGGCGAAGGCGGC